RNAcentral lists this ribosomal RNA (748 nucleotides) under uncultured Peptoniphilus sp. RNAcentral's name for it is "bacterial SSU rRNA". It matches the Rfam family "Bacterial small subunit ribosomal RNA", at positions 28 to 776 of the family's 1533-position model. The record is from RNAcentral. Lineage: Bacteria; Bacillati; Bacillota; Tissierellia; Tissierellales; Peptoniphilaceae.
GACGAACGCUGGCGGCGCGCUUAACACAUGCAAGUCGAGCGAUGAAAUCUUGACAGAACCCUUCGGGGUGAAGAUAAGAUGGAUUAGCGGCGGACGGGUGAGUAAUACGUGAGUAACCUGCCUUAGACAUUGGGAUAGCCUCGGGAAACCGGGAUUAAUACCAAAUGAAAUCACAUAUGCACAUGCAUAAAUGAUCAAAGCUCAGGCGGUCUAAGAUGGACUCGCGUCCCAUUAGCUAGUUGGUGAGGUAACGGCCCACCAAGGCGACGAUGGGUAGCCGGCCUGAGAGGGUGAACGGCCACAUUGGAACCGAGAAACGGUCCAAACUCCUACGGGAGGCAGCAGUGGGGAAUAUUGCACAAUGGAGGGAACUCUGAUGCAGCGACGCCGCGUGAACGAAGAAGGCUUUCGAGUCGUAAAGUUCUUUUAUAUGGGAAGAUAAUGACGGUACCAUAAGAAAAAGCCCCGGCUAACUACGUGCCAGCAGCCGCGGUAAUACGUAGGGGGCUAGCGUUGUCCGGAAUCACUGGGCGUAAAGGGUUCGCAGGCGGAAAUGCAAGUCAGGUGUAAAAGGCAGUAGCUUAACUACUGUAAGCAUUUGAAACUGCAUAUCUUGAGAAGAGUAGAGGUAAGUGGAAUUUUUAGUGUAGCGGUGAAAUGCGUAGAUAUUAAAAAGAAUACCGGUGGCGAAGGCGACUUACUGGGCUCAUUCUGACGCUGAGGAACGAAAGCGUGGGUAGCAAACAGG